GCCUUUGUGGUGUAGUGGUCAGCACGCUCGGCGCGUAUUCGAGAGGUCCGUGGUUCGAUUCCCGACGAAGGCG
RNAcentral lists this transfer RNA (73 nucleotides) under Stegodyphus mimosarum. It matches the Rfam family "tRNA". Rfam says of the family: Transfer RNA (tRNA) molecules are approximately 80 nucleotides in length. Their secondary structure includes four short double-helical elements and three loops (D, anti-codon, and T loops). The record is from Rfam by way of RNAcentral. Lineage: Eukaryota; Metazoa; Arthropoda; Arachnida; Araneae; Eresidae.